Erinaceus europaeus (western European hedgehog) is the source of this 569-nucleotide long non-coding RNA. RefSeq lists it as uncharacterized. The record is from RefSeq and is a predicted model, not a curated record. NCBI's taxonomy places the organism in Eukaryota, Metazoa, Chordata, Mammalia, Eulipotyphla, Erinaceidae. The transcript is spliced from 2 exons.
UCAAUCCACCAUCUUCUGCCAGUGAACUUGUCUUUGGGUUUUUGUUUGGGUGGGGGGGGGUGUUGUUGUUGUUGAGUGUGUGCUUUUUUUUUGAAGGGGGGAGGGGAAACAAGGUGGAGGCUGGAAAUGGGGGAAGUAGGGAGAAUGCUGUGUGUGUGUGUGUGUGUGUGUGUGUAAGUGUGCCUUAAGUGUGAGUGUGUAUGUGUGAGUGUGUGUAGGGGUCAGGAUGGGUGGCUGCAAGGAGUGUGGGGGGGGGGCCGUGUUUGCGAUCUGAACCUUUGGUACCUACAAGGAGGGUGUCUCACGGAACGGUGGCUAAGACCUCACCAGAACCGCAGGGAAGUGAGGAAUCACGGUCAAAGGCACACACAGGAGCCUCCUCUUUGGGCCGGACACCAGCCCAAGCAGCCGAAAGGAGCCCCCCCCCCCCCCCGCACGGAUCACAGCGGCUCCUAGCCCGGAAGGCGCACUUGAUGUGGGAAGAGGCGAAGAAGGUGAAGUUCGUUUGUGGACAUGGAACCCCUUUGAGGGGGUGGGGUGGAAUGCAGAAUAAAUCAGUUCUCACAACC